This is a long non-coding RNA of Schistocerca serialis cubense, 771 nucleotides long. RefSeq lists it as uncharacterized. The record is from RefSeq and is a predicted model, not a curated record. The transcript has 2 exons. Lineage: Eukaryota; Metazoa; Arthropoda; Insecta; Orthoptera; Acrididae.
UUCAGAAUUUAGACCAAUUACCUGUGUAAUCCAGUCAUCUAUUGCCAGGGAUGUCGGCUGAACAGAACGGGAUUCUUUGUCAAAAGCAAAUACCAGAGUAUUCUUCCUGAGGUUUGUAGCCAUGGUUAAUCCAGCGAAGCAAUUUCGGUUAAACAACCGAAAUUCCAAGUAGCAGCAGCAAGACCAGAAAGAGCGAUCAGAUCACAAGGAACAGGAACGAACACGGAGAUUAACGGACGGACGGCACUCGGCAAAGCACAAGUACAGCGAUGUAAACACUGAAGUGCAGCGCAACAGUUAACAGCGGCCACUCGCGAGCGCGGCUGAAACGGAACUGAGACCACGGCGCUGCUUGACUUUCAGCCUCCUUGAUGUUGCUUAUCUUCGCAAGGACUACUCAGUGUGCUCGGUUGUCUUGGACACUCCUAAUGUCCCCUGUGACAGGUCAGCCAGCAGCGACAAACUCAUUAGUAUCGGGGUGGACACCCACCUUCCAGGCAACGAGAACAGCAGCUCAUCAUCGACGAUGUUUUCUUUUUCUAUUGUGGUGGGCAUCCGCAUACUAUAAGCACAGCCAACACACUAGCAGCACCACGUGCCGACGUCACGGGCACAGAGAAGACAUCACCUAUUGGCUGGAGACGCUGUGGCUCUGCUGUUACCACAACAGAAACAUUACAUCAUUGUGAGGCUACAUCAGUACAGUCAGAAAUGUUUACCUGGCAUUUAAAACUGAUUUUUGUUUACAAUAAACAAAUUAUUUGAGCAACA